GAUAUGAACUCUCCGAAAAAAUUACGCUGUUAUCCCUAAGGUAAGUUAAUCUUAUAAUCAAAAAUUCUGGAUCAAAAAAACAUAAAUUAAUGAAUAAAAUAUUAAAAGUUAAAUAAAUUUUAAUGUCACCCCAACAAAACUUUAUAUUCUAAAAAAUUGUUUAAUAAACAAAAAACAAUAAUUAAUAAAUAAAGUAAACUUCUAUAGGGUCUUCUCGUCCUAUAAAAAAAUUUUAGCUUUUUAACUAAAAAAUUAAGUUCAAAACAAUUAAAAAAAGAAAGUUUAUUUUUCAUCAAACCAUUCAUGCUAGCCUUCAAUUAAAAGACAAAUGAUUAUGCUACCUUCGUACAGUUAAAAUACCGCAGCCUUUUAAUUCAUAAAAAUCAAUGGGCAGGUCUGAUCUUAAAUUAAAAUCAAAAGACC
This 423-nucleotide ribosomal RNA is filed under the name Gerris gibbifer. RNAcentral's name for it is "partial 16S ribosomal RNA". Lineage: Eukaryota; Metazoa; Arthropoda; Insecta; Hemiptera; Gerridae. The record is from RNAcentral.